Molecule: antisense RNA, 69 nt
Filed under: Labedaea rhizosphaerae
Lineage: Bacteria; Bacillati; Actinomycetota; Actinomycetes; Pseudonocardiales; Pseudonocardiaceae
Description: Labedella sp. RS-49 ASpks TB sRNA
Rfam family: ASpks TB sRNA
Source: Rfam by way of RNAcentral
CUUCACCGAACCCAGCCACAACGGCCGGUCCCGGUCCUGCCCGUAGGUGGCCAGGACGGCUUGGGCCUC